AACGCGAAGAACCUUACCAGCCCUUGACAUGGGACGUAUGGGAUUCGGAGACGGAUCUCUUCAGUUCGGCUGGCGUCCACACAGGUGCUGCAUGGCUGUCGUCAGCUCGUGUCGUGAGAUGUUGGGUUAAGUCCCGCAACGAGCGCAACCCUCAUCUUCAGUUGCCAACGGGUAGAGCUGGGCACUCUGGAGAAACUGCCGGUGAUAAGCCGCGAGGAAGGUGGGGAUGACGUCAAGUCCUCAUGGCCCUUACGGGCUGGGCUACACACGUGCUACAAUGGCGGUGACAAUGGGAUGCGAAGGCGCAAGUCCUAGCAAAUCUCAAAAAGCCGUCUCAGUUCGGAUUGGGCUCUGCAACUCGAGCCCAUGAAGUUGGAAUCGCUAGUAAUCGUGGAUCAGCACGCCACGGUGAAUACGUUCCCGGGCCUUGUACACACCGACUGUAC
RNAcentral lists this ribosomal RNA (446 nucleotides) under uncultured bacterium. RNAcentral describes it as "bacterial SSU rRNA". It matches the Rfam family "Bacterial small subunit ribosomal RNA", at positions 958 to 1399 of the family's 1533-position model. The record is from RNAcentral.